RNAcentral lists this ribosomal RNA (547 nucleotides) under Polychidium muscicola. RNAcentral's name for it is "SSU rRNA". It matches the Rfam family "Bacterial small subunit ribosomal RNA", at positions 426 to 996 of the family's 1533-position model. The record is from RNAcentral. Lineage: Eukaryota; Fungi; Ascomycota; Lecanoromycetes; Peltigerales; Massalongiaceae.
UAGAAUCUACCCUGUCGAAUAAAAUUCUAGGUAGAGUUAUGAUAAUGACAUUAUCUAUCUAUGUGUCUUGACCAAAUUACGUGCCAGCAGUCGCGGUAAUACGUAAAAGACUAGUGUUAUUCAUGAUUAAUAGGUUUAAAGAGUACCUAGACGGUUAAUGAAGCCCCUAAAGGGUACAUAUUAACUAGAGUUAUAUGAAAGGGAGCUUUGAGGUACUGUUGAGUGUAGAGAUGAAAUUCGUUGAUACCAGAUGAUUGGCACGGAUCUAUGCGAAGGCAUCUCCUUAUGUAAUAACUGACGUUGAAGGACGAAGGCUUUUGAAGUGAAGAGGAUUAGAUACCCUAGUAAUCCAAGCAGAAAAUGAUGAAUGUCAUAGGUUGAAUAAUAUAUUUGGUCUAUAAAUGAAAGUGUAAGCAUUCCACCUCAAGAGUAAUUUGGCAACAUUGGAACUGAAAUCAUUAGACCGUUUCUGACACCAGUAGUGAAGUAUGUUGUUUAAUUAGACAGUCCCCAAAACACCUUACCACAACUUGAAUAUAUAUUUUAA